AUUGAACGCUGGCGGCAUGCCUUACACAUGCAAGUCGAACGGCAGCACGGGAGCAAUCCUGGUGGCGAGUGGCGAACGGGUGAGUAAUAUAUCGGAACGUGCCCAGUCGUGGGGGAUAACGUAGCGAAAGCUACGCUAAUACCGCAUACGAUCUAUGGAUGAAAGUGGGGGAGUCGCAAGACCUCGCGCGAUUGGAGCGGCCGAUAUCAGAUUAGGUAGUUGGUGGGGUAAAAGCCUACCAAGCCUUCGAUCUGUAGCUGGUCUGAGAGGACGACCAGCCACACUGGAACUGAGACACGGUCCAGACUCCUACGGGAGGCAGCAGUGGGGAAUUUUGGACAAUGGGCGCAAGCCUGAUCCAGCAAUGCCGCGUGCAGGAUGAAGGCCUUCGGGUUGUAAACUAGCUUUUGUUACGGAACGAAACGGUUACUCUCU
This 435-nucleotide ribosomal RNA is filed under the name uncultured bacterium. RNAcentral describes it as "bacterial SSU rRNA". It matches the Rfam family "Bacterial small subunit ribosomal RNA", at positions 30 to 463 of the family's 1533-position model. The record is from RNAcentral.